CCAAGAGUCUUUUUUUUGUACAAUUGUUUAUACAAAUUCAACAAAGGUAAAACUGCAUCUGGGAAGGUCUCGGAAAACAACACCUUACAACAAUGGCACUUAUGAAGGCAUAACUUUACAACUAGGAAAAAGCCAUGUUCUAAACCUUAAAUGAGAACUCAACUCACACUUCAAAGGGGAAAAAAAGGAAAAGAAAGGCUAUGUUGGAUCAUUUAUUCUACUUCUUGACUCACUGUAUAAAUUAGCUGUAUGUAGAGUACAAGAGCUCAUGCUGGAGCAAAACCCUCCUGAGUGCAAAGGCUGAAUUCUGAAUUUUAAAAUUUUGAGAAAAAGGUAAAUUCUAUACAGAGGAAACUUGGCAAAGUGUCUUACUUCAACUAUAAUUUACAUAUAUCCACAACAUGCUUAUGUAACUUCUUGACAUACGAAGCAGGCUCCCAACCGCCAGUUACACAUGCUCUUAACUGGAAGGUCUUAGCCUGCUCUGCCAGAUCUGGGCACAUGUUAGAUGGAUUAUUUGUUGGUGAAGUACAGGUUAAGUUCUCUCCUACCUUAAGAAAACCAGGAAAGUUGGCAAUCUCAAAACAAUAAAAACACUGGUAUGCAUUCAAACCUUGCAUAAAUAACUUUUAAACAAUUUGUACAAAAAUAGUUCUGCAUAAUGUAAGAUGUAACAAAACCAAACAAACAAAACAAAUAUGUCAAGGCGGCAAAUGUGGUGUGUGGUCCACUUUAUGUUGACACCAAAAACCUCAGAGUUGCAAGGAAUGAGGUGUCCAAAACAAAAACACCACCACCAAAAAAACUCCUAAGCUCAUGCUUCAGUAAGAGAAAUUCUCCAGAGUUCAUCCUCCUCUCCGAUGGGAAUGUCUUCUUGGUAAAGGCCGCCUUAGAAAUGGUCCAGAAAGCAGUGCAGUUACGAUUCAGAAAGACCAAAGGAAAGUGUCCAGCUCACUCAUGCCCAAACGGGUGGUGGAACAGCUUCUCCCUCGGCAAGACUUGCAAAAUGGAAUCGUUCUGUGGUCUGUAGUUCCAAGUUCCAAAUUGAAAAUAAAAGCCCUAGUUUCUGUG
RNAcentral lists this long non-coding RNA (1071 nucleotides) under Equus asinus (donkey). Its description in RNAcentral is "lncRNA (ENSEASG00005028516.1)". Lineage: Eukaryota; Metazoa; Chordata; Mammalia; Perissodactyla; Equidae. The record is from RNAcentral.